This 253-nucleotide ribosomal RNA is filed under the name uncultured bacterium. RNAcentral's name for it is "partial 16S ribosomal RNA". It matches the Rfam family "Bacterial small subunit ribosomal RNA", at positions 524 to 776 of the family's 1533-position model. The record is from RNAcentral.
UACGUAGGGAGCGAGCGUUGUCCGGAUUUACUGGGUGUAAAGGGGGCGCAGACGGCGAUGCAAGCCAGGAGUGAAAGCCCGGGGCCCAACCCUGGGACUGCUCUUGGAACUGCGUGGCUGGAGUGCAGGAGGGGCAGGCGGAAUUCCUGGUGUAGCGGUGAAAUGCGUAGAUAUCAGGAGGAACACCGGUGGCGAAGGCGGCCUGCUGGACUGCAACUGACGUUGAGGCCCGAAAGCGUGGGGAGCAAACAGG